This 402-nucleotide ribosomal RNA is filed under the name Bacteroidota bacterium. RNAcentral describes it as "Bacteroidetes bacterium partial 16S ribosomal RNA". It matches the Rfam family "Bacterial small subunit ribosomal RNA", at positions 355 to 776 of the family's 1533-position model. The record is from RNAcentral. Lineage: Bacteria; Pseudomonadati; Bacteroidota.
UGGGGAAUUUUGCACAAUGGGGGAAACCCUGAUGCAGCGACGCCGCGUGAUUUAGAAGGCCUUCGGGUUGUAAAAAUCUUUUCUAUGGGAAGAAAAUGACAGUACCAUAGGAAUAAGGACCGGCUAAUUACGUGCCAGCAGCCGCGGUAAUACGUAAGGUCCGAGCGUUGUCCGGAAUCAUUGGGCGUAAAGGGUACGUAGGCGGGUAAGCAAGUUAGAAGUGAAAUCCUGUAGCUCAACUACAGUAAGCUUUUAAAACUGCUCAACUUGAGAUAUGGAAGGGAAAGUGGAAUUCCAUGUGUAGCGGUGAAAUGCGUAGAUAUAUGGAGGAACACCAGUGGCGAAGGCGACUCUCUGGUCUGUAACUGACGCUGAGGCUCGAAAGCGUGGGUAGCAAACAGG